AUGGUGGGAGGUGAGUCUGCUUAUCCCAAACAGCCAGAGCCUAGCAGUGCCUUGAGUGGGACUGGGGCAUCCUUACUCCUCCCUGCCCUCUGCCGCCUACCCUGUCUAGCUUCAGACUGUGGGUCCCUGGAGGCUCCAGCCUCCGUCAGCCUGCUGCCCCAAGGAGGGGGCAUGGCUGCAAAGUCAGGACCUGUGGCGGUGGUGGAGACAAGAGGUACAGAGGAGGAAAGGCAACAGGGACAGUCCCCCGAUGAGGAAGAUGAAGGUUCUGACAAGACCUCUCAGGAUGCUGGCUGCACCCCACAGCCCACUCCCCAGCAGGUCCCUGGCCCAGCCCCUCCGGAUGGCCUGUUUGGCUCCUACCAGGUGCCGCCGGUAGGAAGGCAGGGCAGUCCCGUUCCCCACUCUCCACACAGCCUCUUCCAGCCAUCGAAAUGCCUACCUGGGCCCGUGUGGGCACCAAGCUGCGGGCAGGUAGGAGUUUACUGCCCCCGCUGGGCCAGGCCAGGGCUGGAGGGGCUGGCUGUCCUCCUUCUCCUCCGUGGUGGCGGGCGGAGAGGGGGCCUGGCGCCGGGCUGGGGGCUCUGUCCUCUAGGGUUCCCUCCACUGCUCACUCAGGAAGGCAGCAGCGCCAGAACUGCAGGAGCCAGCUCCCUCCACUGCUGCCUCCUCCCCACUCCCCCCUCCCGACCCACCUCCUUCUCCAGCCACCCACCUCCUUCUGCUCGUUUCUAUGGCAACUGGGCAAUGCUCUGCACAGACAGCCUCCCUCCCAUGUACAGCAGGGGACGCCCGCCUCCUGCACGGCGCCGCAUCAACAUGGGCACACACGCACACACCUCACGGCCACAGACAGGCUGGUGGGUACACAGGCUCAGCCGCCGCCCUCGCCUGGGGAGCCCUGCUCCAUCCCCUUUCUCCCCUUUCUCCCCAAGAUCCCACCUCCCAACCAUCCUUCCAGACAGCUGCACAUUUCUAUGCACUUCGCUUGGGUCCUUAAAAUCUCAGCGCAUGCUGCUCUGUGAGGCAUUUCUAUUUGUUUAA
RNAcentral lists this long non-coding RNA (1044 nucleotides) under Papio anubis (olive baboon). RNAcentral's name for it is "lncRNA (ENSPANG00000051428.1)". Lineage: Eukaryota; Metazoa; Chordata; Mammalia; Primates; Cercopithecidae. The record is from RNAcentral.